GCGCGGAGGAGUGCUGUUCGUGUGUUCGAGUCCCUGGGUUGCUUCCUGGGGUCUGUGGUGCUGGGUGUGCUAUCUGCGUGUGAUUCUCUAGCGAGAGAUUGUGGGCGAGUGACCGAGUGGGCAAGGGGCCGUCACUGUGUGUGCGUGAUUUUGACAGUGUGUGGUGGUAGCUUCUGACUCCGCGUGGGUCGUUGAAUGUAUGACUGGGACCGUUUAGCGGUGGAUACACAACUGUGUGCGGCUGUGGAAGAUUGCCUCAUCCGUUACGUUCCCAUUUCCGUGGAACAACAGUUUUACCAGAAGGUUUCGAAGGAACCUUAAAGUUUGGAAGCGCGGCUUUGGUGUCAUCAAAUGUGAGAAGCCCUGGACUUUACACAUCCCGAGCCAGUGUGAUCCAGUAUGAUUGGGAGUCCGAGUGCCAGAUGCCGGUCAGGACCUGUUAUGCUGGGUCUCAGAAUGCGGAAACUCUCCCUGUCCGAGGUGGAACAGUUUGUCCUUGAGUGAGGACUGGAGUCCUGAGUGACUCUUUUGAUUUGAUCCUGUUUCCCUCAAACCUGGUGAGCUCUAUGGUGUAAUAAAUGGUUAAGAGUGUGAACCCUUAACCAUCUCUAAGACUGGAGCCAGAAUGCCUGAACUCCAGUCUUAGAGAUGUGCCUCGGUCUCCACAUUUGAAAGUGAGGAUGAUUGUGGCAUCUAAUUCAUUGAGUUGUUGGGGAGGAGUAACUGAUAUGUAAAAUAAUGCUACUGCUGCUGGAUAAGGAUGCUAAUAUGACUGAAGCUAAUGCUUUCUUUCUGCAAAGAUGCUUUUUCCAAAACACACCAUAUUGCCUCUUUACACAUUCUUCAGGAGAGGGUAGAGGCUGCAUUUUCCUUGUAGGUGCGGUGAUGUGGUGGAAAGCACACUUUUAGAAUUAGACAGA
This 920-nucleotide long non-coding RNA is filed under the name Homo sapiens (human). RNAcentral's name for it is "non-protein coding ZNF582-AS1:13". The record is from RNAcentral. Lineage: Eukaryota; Metazoa; Chordata; Mammalia; Primates; Hominidae.